RNAcentral lists this transfer RNA (67 nucleotides) under Anoura geoffroyi (Geoffroy's tailless bat). RNAcentral's name for it is "tRNA-Thr". The record is from RNAcentral. Lineage: Eukaryota; Metazoa; Chordata; Mammalia; Chiroptera; Phyllostomidae.
GUCCAUGUAGUAUAUACAUUACACUGGUCUUGUAAGCCAGAAAAGGGGAUAAUUUCCCCCAUAGACU